AGGUGUCCGAUCCCUUGCCUCCCUCAUCUAUCUACAAUGCAUCCACGGUGGAAAAUUGGCAAAAAAAACGCACAGAGUUAGUCGAUGCUUAUUCCUUAGAUACCGUCAUUAUUUCUUCUCCGACAAAAAAAGUUGACGACCCGUAGGCCUUCCACCUCCACGCGGCAUUGCUCCGUCAGGCUUUCGCCCAUUGCGGAAAAUUUCCCACUGUUGCCUCCCGUAGGAGUCUGGGCCGUGUCUCAGUCCCAGUGUGGCUGAUCAUCCUCUCGGACCAGCUACUGAUCAUCGCCUUGAGAUCGGAAGAGAG
Molecule: long non-coding RNA, 307 nt
Organism: Triticum aestivum (bread wheat)
Lineage: Eukaryota; Viridiplantae; Streptophyta; Magnoliopsida; Poales; Poaceae
Exons: 3
Source: RefSeq, a predicted model, not a curated record